RNAcentral lists this small RNA (628 nucleotides) under Pan troglodytes (chimpanzee). RNAcentral's name for it is "retained intron". The record is from RNAcentral. Lineage: Eukaryota; Metazoa; Chordata; Mammalia; Primates; Hominidae.
GAGACCAUAUUUGUUCGCAGAGGAAGCCGUUGCUUUCUGGGAUCUGGCUACGGCAGAAAAGACAUCGGCUCCAACAAGGGUGUUCCACAGGGUAGCUGGGAGUUGGAAGAGCCAAGAACGCCUCCGAGCUCUGGAUUUGAGCCUCUCUGCCCAUGGGUGCAGCAUCCAUGCUCAGCUUGUGAGCUUCUUCCCGGGAGAGCAGCCAUGGCACUGAGGAAUGUGCCCUUUCGCUCAGAGGUCCUGGGCUGGGACCCCGACAGCCUUGCUGACUAUUUCAAGAAGCUCAACUAUAAGGACUGUGAGAAGGCAGUGAAGAAGUACCACAUCGAUGGGGCUCGCUUCUUGAACCUGACAGAAAAUGACAUCCAGAAGUUCCCCAAGCUCCGGGUGCCGAUUCUCAGUAAGUUAAGUCAGGAAAUCAACAAGAACGAAGAGAGGAGGAGCAUCUUCACACGCAAGUGAGUGGGGCUGGUGUAAGGAAACGCAAGAUUUUUCAGUUCCGAGUUGAACCUUAAAAGGGAGGCACAGAACUGUUUUUGCCCUACUUUUUGAUCUGCAUUUGUCCCCUGAAUCCCAGGGGUCUGGAAGAUGGUGUCCAACGAGGGGAAGGGGUUCCCUCCCCUGCCCU